This 351-nucleotide long non-coding RNA is filed under the name Junco hyemalis (dark-eyed junco). RNAcentral's name for it is "lncRNA (ENSJHYG00000008153.1)". The record is from RNAcentral. Lineage: Eukaryota; Metazoa; Chordata; Aves; Passeriformes; Passerellidae.
CACGGGCUGCAUUUAUUUUCCUCAUCCUCCCAUCCCAUGUGCUUCUCCUCGGGAUGAGAAAUCUCGGCAAUAUCCGUGUCAGCUCCAGCUGGAUGCCAAAGCCACCAGCCCAGGGUGGUUCCCAUGCCAGCCCCAACGGGGCUGUAGGAGAAGCAGAGAUGUCUGAUCCAGCUUCUAAAUGCUGAAAAUUUCCUUGGGAUUUAUCCAGCUCAGCUCAUGCCCUAGGCCGGUGUGGAGGGAGCUGCCGCUGUGCCCUGGGGCGCUGAAUUGUCACCUGUCCCCAUCCCGACAGAGAGGAGAGAGGGGCAGAUCCCUGGCUGCAGAUCCCAGCUCCCCAGGAUCACACGGAUC